UAUUUCACCAUAUUGUAAAUAAGAUUAUCUCGACAUGUAUGAAUGAAUCUAAUUUUAAAAGGUUGUAGCAUGUUUUCUGAAUGUUUUAAGCGUCACAGUGACAGCUGUCCUCAUCCAGAUUAAUCCAGGUUAGAAAAAAGAAGAGAAAAAAAAAA
Long non-coding RNA from Lingula anatina, 155 nucleotides. The record is from RefSeq and is a predicted model, not a curated record. Lineage: Eukaryota; Metazoa; Brachiopoda; Lingulata; Lingulida; Lingulidae.